GAAAAGAAACCAACAGGGAUUGCCCCAGUAACGGCGAGUGAAGCGGCAACAGCUCAAAUUUGAAAUCUGGCCCUCGGGUCCGAGUUGUAAUUUGGAGAGGAUGCUUCUGGCGCGGCGCCGUCCGAGUUCCUUGGAACAGGACGCCAUAGAGGGUGAGAGCCCCGUACGGGCGGCCGCCUAGCCUUUGCGAAGCUCCUUCGACGAGUCGAGUAGUUUGGGAAUGCUGCUCAAAAUGGGAGGUAAAUUUCUUCUAAAGCUAAAUACCGGCCAGAGACCGAUAGCGCACAAGUAGAGUGAUCGAAAGAUGAAAAGCACUUUGAAAAGAGGGUUAAAAAGUACGUGAAAUUGUUGAAAGGGAAGCGCCUGUGACCAGACUUGCGGCCCGCGGAUCACCCGGCGUUCCUCGCCGGUGCACUCCGCGGGCGGCAGGCCAGCAUCGGUUUUCCUGGGGGGUCAAAGGUCGCGGGAACGUGGCUCCUUCGGGAGUGUUAUAGCCCGCGGCGCCAUGCCUCUGGGGGGACCGAGGACCGCGCUUCGGCAAGGAUGCUGGCGUAAUGG
Molecule: ribosomal RNA, 558 nt
Filed under: Ophiostoma japonicum
Lineage: Eukaryota; Fungi; Ascomycota; Sordariomycetes; Ophiostomatales; Ophiostomataceae
Description: eukaryotic LSU rRNA
Rfam family: Eukaryotic large subunit ribosomal RNA
Source: RNAcentral